UUCGCAAUGCCCGAAAGGGUGAACGAGCGACGCCGCGUGCAGGAUGAAGGCCUUCGAGUCGUAAACCGCUUUUCUUAGGGAAGAAUGUAAUGACGGUACCUAAGGAAUAAGAGGCUACUAACUCUGUGCCAGCAGUAGCGGUAAUACAGAGGCCUCAAGCGUUAUCCGGAUUUACUGGGCAUAAAGAGCACGUAGGCGGUUGGGCAAGUCCAUUGUGAAGUCCCCACGGCUCAACCGGGGAACUGCAGUGGAUACUACUCGACUUGAGUGCAGGAGGGGAGAGUGGAAUUCCAGGUGGAGCGGUGAAAUGCGUAGAUAUCUGGAGGAACGCCGGUGGCGAAAGCGACUCUCUGGCCUGUUACUGACGCUGAGGCGCGAAAGCUAGGGGAGCAAACGGGAUUAGAUACCCCGGUAGUCCUAGCCCUAAACGAUGGGCACUAAGUAGAGGGGUUUU
This 454-nucleotide ribosomal RNA is filed under the name uncultured anaerobic ammonium-oxidizing bacterium. RNAcentral's name for it is "bacterial SSU rRNA". It matches the Rfam family "Bacterial small subunit ribosomal RNA", at positions 364 to 832 of the family's 1533-position model. The record is from RNAcentral.